UAUAAAGGUAGCCAUAAGUUUCUGUGUUCAACUUCCAUCGUACGUCUUAUUUAAUUUUUUUAUAAUUAGUAUUUUUGUUGUUAUUAUAUGAUAAAACAUGAAUAGUAAUUUAUGCAUGAAUUAUGUUUUUUAUUUUUUCUAAAAAAGUUUCAAUUAAGAUGAUGAUUAAAUUUGGACACGGAAACUUACAGUUGGCUUAAAA
This is a non-coding RNA of Oryza punctata, 202 nucleotides long. The record is from Rfam. NCBI's taxonomy places the organism in Eukaryota, Viridiplantae, Streptophyta, Magnoliopsida, Poales, Poaceae.